GACAGAGGGUGCAAACGUUGCUCGGAAUCACUGGGCGUAAAGGGCGUGUAGGCGGGCAGGUAAGUCGGGCGUGAAAUCCCUGAGCUCAACUCAGGAACUGCACUCGAAACUACUUUUCUUGAGUACCGGAGAGGAAAGCGGAAUACCUGGUGUAGAGGUGAAAUUCGUAGAUAUCAGGUGGAACACCAGUGGCGAAGGCGGCUUUCUGGACGGUAACUGACGCUGAGACGCGAAAGCGUGGGGAGCAAACAGG
Molecule: ribosomal RNA, 253 nt
Filed under: uncultured bacterium
Lineage: Bacteria
Description: partial 16S ribosomal RNA
Rfam family: Bacterial small subunit ribosomal RNA
Source: RNAcentral